This 528-nucleotide ribosomal RNA is filed under the name uncultured bacterium. Its description in RNAcentral is "bacterial SSU rRNA". It matches the Rfam family "Bacterial small subunit ribosomal RNA", at positions 984 to 1509 of the family's 1533-position model. The record is from RNAcentral.
ACAUCCAGAGAAUUUAGCAGAGAUGCUUUAGUGCCUUCGGGAACUCUGAGACAGGUGCUGCAUGGCUGUCGUCAGCUCGUGUUGUGAAAUUGGUUGGUUAAGUCCCGNAACGAGCGCAACCCUUUAUCCUUUGUUGCCAGCACGUAAUGGUGGGAACUCAAAGGAGACUGCCGGUGAUAAACCGGAGGAAGGUGGGGAUGACGUCAAGUCAUCAUGGCCCUUACGAGUAGGGCUACACACGUGCUACAAUGGCGCAUACAAAGAGAAGCGACCUCGCGAGAGCAAGCGGACCUCAUAAAGUGCGUCGUAGUCCGGAUUGGAGUCUGCAACUCGACUCCAUGAAGUCGGAAUCGCUAGUAAUCGUAAAUCAGAAUGUUACGGUGAAUACGUUCCCGGGCCUUGUACACACCGCCCGUCACACCAUGGGAGUGGGUUGCAAAAGAAGUAGAUAGCUUAACCUUCGGGAGGGCGUUUACCACUUUGUGAUUCAUGACUGGGGUGAAGUCGUAACAAGGUAAGCGUAGUGCU